UACGUAAGGGGCAAGCGUUGUCCGGAAUCACUGGGCGUAAAGAGCGCGCAGGCGGUCGUUCAAGUCGCGUGUGAAAGCCCCCGGCUCAACUGGGGAGGGUCACGCGAUACUGAUCGACUCGAAGGCAGGAGAGGGUAGUGGAAUUCCCGGUGUAGUGGUGAAAUGCGUAGAUAUCGGGAGGAACACCAGUGGCGAAGGCGACUACCUGGCCUGUUCUUGACGCUGAGGCGCGAAAGCUAGGGGAGCAAACGGG
Molecule: ribosomal RNA, 253 nt
Filed under: uncultured bacterium
Lineage: Bacteria
Description: partial 16S ribosomal RNA
Rfam family: Bacterial small subunit ribosomal RNA
Source: RNAcentral